CCCAAUCCCUAUCCCUGUUUGACAAUCCUUAUACACUCUCCCCCACCGCAUCCUUAACUCAGCCAUGAAUCCAGUAAACCAAACCUUCAUCUAUGAGAAGAUCUCACCUCUCACAUUCUCUCCUGUCCUUGCUUGCAUCGCCGUCUCGGUCUCUUCAAGCUGUUUAUCACGUCGCCAACUCUACCCGCGUGGUCGUCAUUAGUUCCGGCCUGCUGCUCGCCGGUCCUCUCUUCUCCAAUACAGGUGCAGGUGCUCAGAAGUGAGUUUUGGUUCAUCUGAGAGAUGGCGAAGAUCUUAUAUACACUCUACUUUAUAUUUUGCUUAGAAUAUCUCCACCUUUAUUUUGAAAAGCUUGUAUUAUGUAUUGAACUCUGUUGAAUUUGCCUAUAGAGGCUUUCAUGUUUUAUUUGGGAGAGAUUAGGAAGUACUAUUGUCAACUACUUACAUACUGUACCCUAGCCGGCCUAAACUUUGCGGGUUGCGGCUAGUGGCUAUUUACUUAUGUUAUAUAUCUAUAUACUGUACUUCUCCUA
Long non-coding RNA from Arachis duranensis, 533 nucleotides. RefSeq lists it as uncharacterized. NCBI's taxonomy places the organism in Eukaryota, Viridiplantae, Streptophyta, Magnoliopsida, Fabales, Fabaceae. The record is from RefSeq and is a predicted model, not a curated record. The transcript has 2 exons.